AUCCCCUUGGCCGGCUGGCCUGGAGCACUGUGGGUGCGUGGGGGUGAGGUAGGACAUGGAUCUGGUGUCCACGGAUGGAGGGGGCAGAGCCUGUGGGGAGCCAAACAGGCCAGAGUGGCUUGGACUUUGGACCCCUGAAGCUACUGAGACGGACAGUCACUGGCCACUGGGUAGACAGGUGUCAGACUUGUCACAUGGAGGUGGUAAGGCUGGAAUGGGCUGACGGUAAGCCUUGGAGGAGGGAUCUCUGCCUGCUCCCCCGCUCUUCAUGAAACUGGGAGGGAGGGCUAUUUGCUGAGCCCAGACCCACCAGGUGAGUCAUGGGCCCCCUGGGGAGAGAGACCUGCAGGAGAUUGGUCAGUUGGGCACUGCUGAGUCACUGUGAGCUCUAGCUAUCCCAAGUCCUGCCUGUUCCUAGCUGGGGCUGGCUGGGGUGGGUCCUGGAGGCCAGCGCAGCCAGGCCGUGAAGGGCAGCAGUGGGGUUGGGGGCACUGGGCUCUGGGAGACACGGGGGAGGGUCGGGGCCUCAAGGCUAGUGGGGCUUGGAGUUUUGGGUGUGUGGCUGGUGGGGCCACAGGCUGGGGUCCAGGAGUUCUGGGGGGCUGAUAGAUUCCUGUGGGCUAGGGCUACAGGGCGGCUAGAGCUACAGGGUGUCAGGGACACGCAUGAGUUCAGGCACCUGUGAACAGAAAAAAGGAAGCGAGUCAACAUCCCUGAGCUCCAAAAUAAUUGGCUUUCGGCUGAGAAGCACUGUGGAGGUGGGCUUGUAGACAGUGACACCAGAGGGAUCAGGGCGGGGUCAGAAGAGACUAGGUGGGGGGGACCUGUGCACCGGGAGUGCAGGGUGGUGGUGGGCAGUGGGAUGGAACCUGAGGGGCCAGGGUGGGGCCUGGGAAUUGGGGGCCAGCACCAGGUCAUGGAAUGGGUCUGGAGAGCUGGGGCAGCCCCUGAUAUCCUGCAGUGGGGUCUGCUGCAGUGAGGUGGGGUGGAGAGCUGGGGAUGGAGAGUGAGGUAUGAGACCAAGGGGCAAGACAGGAGAGCAUCCCAGCCCUCGAGGAGCCUACCUCAAAAGAGUCCGCAGUCUUUGAGGUUCUCCUUGAUGAUGAUGUCUGUUACCGCGUCGAAGACAAAUUUGACGUUCUGCGUGUCCGUAGCACAAGUCAUAUGGGAAUAGAUCUCCUUCACGUCACGUCGCAUGUUAAGCUCGAGGAACUGCACCUUGAUGUAGUUGCCCGCGUCCUCGUAUGUGUUGGGCCCUGGCAGGGAAAGGGGGUGCUCUUACUGGGUGUCCCCACUCCUUCCCGCGGCGGGGGAAGCGCAGGCCCAGAUCACGGGGUUGGAGCGCCGCCUGGCGGCCAGGCUGCGGGGGGGGGGCGGUUCUCACCGUCGUAAUCCGGGAAGCAGAUGCUGAGAUGCGCCUUUUUGAUCUUCUCGGUGAAAACGUCCUUCUUGUUGAGGAAGAGCACGAUGGACGUGGUGGCGAAGUAGCGGUGGUUGCAGAUGCUGUUGAACAGCGUGGCUGCUGGCUGUCUUGUGUCCUCAUUCGGACUGUUCCGGAACGAAUGUCUGCUCUCAGACGCUCCCCGCUCCCACAGUACUGUCUCCGGCUUUCCCCUGAAACACUGCAGGCCCUGCUUGGCACCCACCACUUCGUCGUCCUCCACCAGCACCAUGUCAUAGGCGCUCAGCGCGGCGAUGAAGAUGAUGCAGGUCACACCCUCGAAGCAAUGGAUCCACUUCUUGCGCUCUGAGCGCUGCCCGCCCACAUCGAACAUCCUGUGGAGCAGUUGGGGCCUGAACCCGCUUGGAGCCCGCUGGACGCGCGCACAGGCAUCCCCUUGCCUCCUAAUGCUGGGGGGCACUCAGAUGGGACUGGCAUGUGGAGGGGCCGGAACUUUCUGCGGGCGGGGUAUCAGAGGAGGGGCAGGGUCUCCUUGGGAUGGGGCCUCCGGGACGCGACGGGGCCUCGGGGCGCUGCACUCGCAGCCAGACCCCCAGAGCGAGGGCAAGGGCGAGGGCGAGGGGCCGUACCGGAAGUGGAGGUCCUUGAAGGAGAACUGCGUCUCAAUGAUGCCUGUGGUCUUGACACGCGAGCGCAGCACGUCCUGCUCAGUGGGCACGUAGCCCGGGGUGACCAGGCGCUCCAGGUCCGAGAGGUAGCUGCGGGAGACCGCGGGGUGUGGGUGGGUGCGGUGGAGGGGCGUGGUGGGACCCCGCCCGCACCCCCGCGCCCCGCCUGCUCUCUCACUAGCCCGCGGAGUCGUUGAGCUGGUACUCAGAGGCACGAUCGAAACAGGCCUGGAUACCCGAAUCCUUCCACAGCCGCUGGAUGAUGUCCGACAUCUCCUUGGGCAUGGUGCCCUCUUCGAUGGUGUCCGCCAUGUGCAUCAGCUUCCGGGCGUCGUCCUGAGGGCAAGGGUGGGAGUUGUUGAUGGUGACCGUGGACUUGAGAGUAGUCUCCCGCCUCGAGUCCCCGGAGGCCCUGCUCAGCCAGUCUCCCUGCACACCUGGCGGGCAGAGUCUCCAUACUGGAUGUUGAGCGUGGUCAUGGCGCGCACGAUGGCGAGGAUGGACUGCAGCGUGUUGCCGUAGAUGAUGCUAAUGAACUCGAGGCACUCUUCCAACGAGUACCCAUCCUGGUGGAUAAUCCUGCGGCCGGGGUGAGCCGGGUCAGAGCCAAGUGGACUGGUGGGGAAGGACAGGCCCGGUGCGCGCACCCACCCUCAGGGACCUCAGAAAAGGCAAGGGCACUCACUUCAUCUGCUUGACAAUGGUGCUCUUCCCGGACUCACCCGCACCUGGAAGGGAAGCCCCGCCUCAGAGCUGCGCUGGCCGCACCUCCCCACAACUUCCCCACCCACCCUCCACCCCGCAACCGGACGCGGAAGAUGGGGACCCGCAGACUCAAGGCAGGUACAAGUCCAACCCCAGUUCCCCCUGUUUCCCCCACCCUCCACCCCAAAGCAAGGUCCUGACAGCCUGGAGGAAACACGUCUGUAAAUGCCAGCAGUGACAUAGGGGGCUGACGAGGGCAAUCAACGACCUCAACUGUGUUGGGGAGCCUCCAAGA
Leptonychotes weddellii (Weddell seal) is the source of this 3070-nucleotide long non-coding RNA. RefSeq lists it as uncharacterized. NCBI's taxonomy places the organism in Eukaryota, Metazoa, Chordata, Mammalia, Carnivora, Phocidae. The record is from RefSeq and is a predicted model, not a curated record.